ACAACAUUCGGACCGUCGGUCUACCAAGCUACAUAAUAUUAUAUCUCCCGCUCGGUGGAAGAUCUUCCCUUUGUCGU
RNAcentral lists this microRNA precursor (77 nucleotides) under Bombyx mori (domestic silkworm). Its description in RNAcentral is "mir-2774 microRNA precursor family". It matches the Rfam family "mir-2774 microRNA precursor family". The record is from Rfam by way of RNAcentral. Lineage: Eukaryota; Metazoa; Arthropoda; Insecta; Lepidoptera; Bombycidae.